UACAGAGGGUGCGAGCGUUAAUCGGAAUUACUGGGCGUAAAGCGCACGUAGGUGGCGACGUAAGUCGGGUGUGAAAGCCCCGGGCUCAACCUGGGAAUUGCAUUCGAGACUGCAUUGCUGGAGUACGGAAGAGGAAGGCGGAAUUCCCGGUGUAGCGGUGAAAUGCGCAGAUAUCGGGAGGAACACCAGUAGCGAAGGCGGCUCGCUGGGCCACUCCUGACGCUGAGACGCGAAAGCUAGGGGAGCGAACAGG
This 253-nucleotide ribosomal RNA is filed under the name uncultured bacterium. RNAcentral's name for it is "partial 16S ribosomal RNA". It matches the Rfam family "Bacterial small subunit ribosomal RNA", at positions 524 to 776 of the family's 1533-position model. The record is from RNAcentral.